AGGAGCUUCUGUGUGAUGGAAUCCAAGUCCAGCCCUUCAGAAUGUGUCUUUUUCUCAGUGCACUUGGAAUGGACCAGAACGGAAGUCACAAACAAUCAUAGAAAACAAGAGACACCCCACCCCUUCCACAGCGAACAACGAACUCAACCGAAAAACAAAAAUGAAAAACUUCAAACGAAGCCCAGUGGUCGGGUUUUUUCUUCUUUUUUCUAAAAUCCAUGAUUAAAACCUGGUACAAACAGGUGAAUAUAUAGAUAUAUAUAUCUCUUUUAGUAGAUGUAAUAUUUUUCCUCUCUCUUUCUCUCUUUCUCAUUAUACAGCAAACAUUUGCAAAUAUAGAAUUUCUUUUCUCUCUGUACAAUAGAAUGGCAUCAGUUUUACAAUGUGAUGUUGCGACAGACCCUUUCCAUCCCCCCAAAAACGCACACAUGAGACUUCAGACCCCCAAUCGUCUAAACUGGAAGACUCCGUUUGCAAAAGGCCCAAAGAGUUGCCUCUUUUAUUUCGGCUAACUUCUUCUGAUUUACCCUUUUCAUGUUUUUACUUUUUGGUUACAGAAAGGAAGAGAACAAAACUGUACAGGGU
RNAcentral lists this long non-coding RNA (585 nucleotides) under Varanus komodoensis (Komodo dragon). Its description in RNAcentral is "lncRNA (ENSVKKG00000004618.1)". The record is from RNAcentral. Lineage: Eukaryota; Metazoa; Chordata; Lepidosauria; Squamata; Varanidae.